Molecule: ribosomal RNA, 449 nt
Filed under: uncultured bacterium
Lineage: Bacteria
Description: partial 16S ribosomal RNA
Rfam family: Bacterial small subunit ribosomal RNA
Source: RNAcentral
AACGAACGCUGGCGGCAUGCCUAACACAUGCAAGUCGGACGAAGCCUUCGGGCUCAGUGGCGCACGGGUGCGUAACGCGUGGGAAUCUGCCCUUUGGUUCGGAAUAACAGUUGGAAACGACUGCUAAUACCGGAUGAUGACGAAAGUCCAAAGAUUUAUCGCCAGAGGAUGAGCCCGCGUAGGAUUAGCUAGCUGGUGUGGUAAAGGCGCACCAAGGCGACGAUCCUUAGCUGGUCUGAGAGGAUGAUCAGCCACACUGGGACUGAGACACGGCCCAGACUCCUACGGGAGGCAGCAGUGGGGAAUAUUGGACAAUGGGCGAAAGCCUGAUCCAGCAAUGCCGCGUGAGUGAUGAAGGCCCUAGGGUUGUAAAGCUCUUUUACCCGGGAUGAUAAUGACAGUACCGGGAGAAUAAGCCCCGGCUAACUCCGUGCCAGCCGCCGCGGUAA